RNAcentral lists this long non-coding RNA (238 nucleotides) under Physcomitrium patens. RNAcentral's name for it is "long non-coding RNA (PPAT_LNC010358)". Lineage: Eukaryota; Viridiplantae; Streptophyta; Bryopsida; Funariales; Funariaceae. The record is from RNAcentral.
AAAGUCAGUAUUUGUAUUGGUGAAUUGGAUUUUUGCAAUAAAGUAAAGGCUAGUACUCUUAAUUGUUUUGUGAAAUUGGAGAGACAUCUAUGGUUGAAAUUUUAGAGGUGUUUAGAUGGUUGAGUAUAUUAAGUGUAUGCAAAAAUUUGUGUUAAUCUUACGGUACGGAUAGAUGAUAUUUGAUCAUUAGUAUAACGAGGUAUCAGAAGUUGACAUAUUGGAGUUGUUUAAGGUUUUU